Molecule: ribosomal RNA, 253 nt
Filed under: uncultured bacterium
Lineage: Bacteria
Description: partial 16S ribosomal RNA
Rfam family: Bacterial small subunit ribosomal RNA
Source: RNAcentral
UACGGAGGGGGCAAGCGUUAUUCGGAAUUACUGGGCGUAAAGGGCUCGUAGGCGGCCAACUAAGUCAGACGUGAAAUCCCUCGGCUCAACUGAGGAACUGCCUUUGAAACUGUCUGGCUUGAGGCCAGGAGAGGGUAGCGGAAUUCCCAGUGUAGCGGUGAAAUGCGUAGAUAUUGGGAGGAACACCAGUGGCGAAGGCGGCUACCUGGACCGGUUCUGACGCUGAGGCGCGAAAGCGUGGGUAGCAAACAGG